RNAcentral lists this ribosomal RNA (756 nucleotides) under Triticum aestivum (bread wheat). RNAcentral's name for it is "partial small subunit ribosomal RNA". Lineage: Eukaryota; Viridiplantae; Streptophyta; Magnoliopsida; Poales; Poaceae. The record is from RNAcentral.
AUGGGCCAUGACAAUGUGGCAGGCCAGCCAUCAACCUGUGGUGCCCCUGUAGUGGUGUCUUUGCAGUCAGAGAGCCAUACUCUAGAUGACACGGGAACCGAGGCAAAUGUUCCUGGUCCAACCAGGACUGAGCUAGGAGCUGGGGCUGUUGACGGAGCUGUGCAAGAAGAAGAAGGAGAGGAUGAGGCCGGUUCUCAACCUAUGAAACCCUAUGUUGGCCUGAGGUUUGACAACCUUCAAAUUGCUAAGGAUCACUACAAUAGCUACACACUACGGAUGGGUUUCUCUAUCAAGAUGAACACAUCUAGACGGGCACCCCGCACCAAUGAAUUGAUAAAACAACAGUUUUGCUGUAACAAGUUCAAGAAGCCCAAAGCUGAUGAUGGAGGAGCUGAGGCUCCUCCUGUCCUGGACCCUAUUCCAGAUCCAAAAUCUGUUGACAAUGAUAAGGAGAUGGAAGAAGAACCUCCAAUAUUUGCUGAAGAGGAGGCUGGUACUAGUAAGAAGAAGAAGAAGCGCAAAUGUGAGACAAUAAAGCAGACUCAGUGCAAAGCGAAAAUGUUGGUGAAGCUGAUAGAUGGGCGAUGGGAGGUGACGCACUUUGUUCGUGACCACAAUCAUCCGCUCGUGAACAAAUCUUUAUUGUCCAAAUACUUGAGAUCCCACCAAGGCAUCUCACCUGAUGAAAAGGAGUUUCUGCGCAUCUUGUAUAACUGCAACUUGACUACAAGUAUGGUGUUUUUCUAUAUCCCUUAA